This 254-nucleotide ribosomal RNA is filed under the name uncultured bacterium. Its description in RNAcentral is "partial 16S ribosomal RNA". It matches the Rfam family "Bacterial small subunit ribosomal RNA", at positions 107 to 351 of the family's 1533-position model. The record is from RNAcentral.
UGAGUAAUACAUAAGUAACCUGCCCUAGACAGGGGGAUAACUAUUGGAAACGAUAGCUAAGACCGCAUAGGUACGGACACUGCAUGGUGACCGUAUUAAAAGUGCCUCAAAGCACUGGUAGAGGAUGGACUUAUGGCGCAUUAGCUGGUUGGCGGGGUAACGGCCCACCAAGGCGACGAUGCGUAGCCGACCUGAGAGGGUGACCGGCCACACUGGGACUGAGACACGGCCCAGACUCCUACGGGAGGCAGAUG